RNAcentral lists this ribosomal RNA (139 nucleotides) under uncultured bacterium. RNAcentral describes it as "partial 16S ribosomal RNA". It matches the Rfam family "Bacterial small subunit ribosomal RNA", at positions 355 to 509 of the family's 1533-position model. The record is from RNAcentral.
UGGGGAAUAUUGGGCAAUGGGGGAAACCCUGACCCAGCAACGCCGCGUGAGGGAAGAAGGUUUUCGGAUCGUAAACCUCUGUCCUUGGUGAAGAGAAGAAGACGGUAGCCAAGGAGGAAGCCCCGGCUAACUACGUGCC